GAUGAACGCUGGCGGCGUGCCUAAUACGUGCAAGUCGAGCGAACAGAUAAGGAGCUUGCUCCUUUGACGUUAGCGGCGGACGGGUGAGUAACACGUGGGUAACCUACCUAUAAGACUGGAAUAACUCCGGGAAACCGGGGCUAAUGCCGGAUAACAUUUAGAACCGCAUGGUUCUAAAGUGAAAGAUGGUUUUGCUAUCACUUAUAGAUGGACCCGCGCCGUAUUAGCUAGUUGGUAAGGUAACGGCUUACCAAGGCAACGAUACGUAGCCGACCUGAGAGGGUGAUCGGCCACACUGGAACUGAGACACGGUCCAGACUCCUACGGGAGGCAGCAGUAGGGAAUCUUCCGCAAUGGGCGAAAGCCUAACGGAGCAACGCCGCGUGAGUGAUGAAGGUCUUCGGAUCGUAAAACUCUGUUAUUAGGGAAGAACAAAUGUGUAAGUAACUGUGCACGUCUUGACGGUACCUAAUCAGAAAGCCACGGCUAACUACGUG
Molecule: ribosomal RNA, 497 nt
Filed under: uncultured bacterium
Lineage: Bacteria
Description: partial 16S ribosomal RNA
Rfam family: Bacterial small subunit ribosomal RNA
Source: RNAcentral